CCUGAACACACUCUCAGUAACCGGGGUAUGGUCUUACCCCAGUUAAGUGAAUAACCGGGUUAUGCCAGUUCUCCCCGUAUACAUGAGUGGGGAAGAAUGG
Molecule: long non-coding RNA, 100 nt
Organism: Sander lucioperca (pikeperch)
Lineage: Eukaryota; Metazoa; Chordata; Actinopteri; Perciformes; Percidae
Exons: 3
Source: RefSeq, a predicted model, not a curated record